This 267-nucleotide ribosomal RNA is filed under the name uncultured Staphylococcus sp. RNAcentral's name for it is "partial 16S ribosomal RNA". It matches the Rfam family "Bacterial small subunit ribosomal RNA", at positions 96 to 355 of the family's 1533-position model. Lineage: Bacteria; Bacillati; Bacillota; Bacilli; Caryophanales; Staphylococcaceae. The record is from RNAcentral.
CGGCGGACGGGUGAGUAACACGUGGAUAACCUACCUAUAAGACUGGGAUAACUUCGGGAAACCGGAGCUAAUACCGGAUAAUAUAUUGAACCGCAUGGUUCAAUGGUGAAAGACGGUUUUGCUGUCACUUAUAGAUGGAUCCGCGCCGCAUUAGCUAGUUGGUAAGGUAACGGCUUACCAAGGCAACGAUGCGUAGCCGACCUGAGAGGGUGAUCGGCCACACUGGAACUGAGACGACGGUCCAGACUCCUACGGGAGGCAGCAGUU